Carassius carassius (crucian carp) is the source of this 306-nucleotide long non-coding RNA. RefSeq lists it as uncharacterized. The record is from RefSeq and is a predicted model, not a curated record. The transcript has 2 exons. NCBI's taxonomy places the organism in Eukaryota, Metazoa, Chordata, Actinopteri, Cypriniformes, Cyprinidae.
AGAUGUUAAAAGCAAGAGACAUGGGAGAGCAUAAUUCUUUUGAGAUUUUAUGCCACUGAUGAAGAACAUGUGGUGACUGGGAUGAAUGCUGGUCAGAGAGGAGAAUCUUCUUUCCCCUAAACGGAUGUAGAAGUGGUUUUAAAGGGGGACGUUGCCCUGGAUGAUGAUGAAGAUGUCACAUGUGCUGAUGGGGCUUCUUCAUGACUACAUCAAUUAUGCUAAAGAGAUCAUGAAAGUUGACAGUGAAGCAUGAUCUGUAUUCAUGGACUAUGAAACAAACUGUAAGUGCAUCACUUGUAAAAACAA